Long non-coding RNA from Oncorhynchus keta (chum salmon), 2063 nucleotides. RefSeq lists it as uncharacterized. The record is from RefSeq and is a predicted model, not a curated record. NCBI's taxonomy places the organism in Eukaryota, Metazoa, Chordata, Actinopteri, Salmoniformes, Salmonidae. The transcript is spliced from 2 exons.
AUAGAAGAUUAUUAUUCAUGCCCACUGCUGAAACCUAACCCCUGCACCAAAACAAACACAGUGAGGGGAUUUAAACACUGUAGUCCAACCUUUACUUAUCCUACUGUUUCACUCAAUGUAUUAUCGCCCUGGUGCCUAGGAAUGUAUUGCUCUCAAUGUACUGCCUCAUUUCGGGGGGGGGGUGUAUUUAUUCAUUCAUUGAUUGACCGAUUCAUUAAUUGAUUAAUUACAAUAUACACUUGUUCGUAUUUAUUUUCUUCUCCUCUGACCUGGGUACAGCACCCUCCUAUCCAUUAUAUUUGGACUAGAGACAGUGUCAAGAUCCUGAGAUGGAACAAUGGUUUACUGUUGAUUGAUGGAACAAUAGUUUACUGUUGAUUGAUUGAACAAUGGUUUACUGUUGAUUGAUGGAACAAUGGUUUACUGUUGAUUGAUGGAACAAUAGUUUACUGUUGAUUGAUUGAACAAUGGUUUACUGUUGAUUGAUGGAACAAUGGUUUACUGUUGAUUGAUGGAACAAUAGUUUACUGUUGAUUGAUUGAACAAUGGUUUACUGUUGAUUGAUGGAACAAUGGUUUACUGUUGAUUGAUGGAACAAUGGUUUACUGUUGAUUGAUGGAACAAUAGUUUACUGUUGAUUGAUUGAACAAUGGUUUACUGUUGAUUGAUGGAACAAUGGUUUACUGUUGAUUGAUGGAACAAUGGUUUACUGUUGAUUGAUGGAACAAUAGUUUACUGUUGAUUGAUUGAACAAUGGUUUACUGUUGAUUGAUUGAACAAUGGUUUACUGUUGAUUGAUGGAACAAUGGUUUACUGUUGAUUGAUGGAACAAUGGUUUACUGUUGAUUGAUGGAACAAUGGUUUACUGUUGAUUGAUGGAACAAUGGUUUACUGUUGAUUGAUUGAAAAAUAGUUUACUGUUGAUUGAUGGAACAAUGGUUUACUGUUGAUUGGUGGAAAAAUAGUUUACUGUUGAUUGAUUGAACAAUGGUUUACUGUUGAUUGAUUGAACAAUAGUUUACGGUUGAUUGAACAAUGGUUUACUGUUGAUUGAUUGAACAAUGGUUUACUGUUGAUUGAACAAUAGUUUACGGUUGAUUGAACAAUGCAACCGUCGGAUGAGGGACGAGCCUCGCGUAGAAGUGACCUCGCGUAGAUGUAAGACAAUGGUACAACUCUGACGCAGCAGACCAUAGGUCAGGACCCGGUUAGUUACGGUAACUCAGAGCAGACCAUAGGUCAGGACCCGGUUAGUUACGGUAACUCAGAGCAGACCAUAGGUCAGGACCCGGUUAGUUACGGUAAGGCAGAGCAGACCAUAGGUCAGGACCAGGUUAGUUACGGUAAGGCAGAGCAGACCAUAGGUCAGGACCCGGUUAGUUACGGUAACUCAGAGCAGACCAUAGGUCAGGACCUGGUUAGUUACGGUAAGGCAGAGCAGACCAUAGGUCAGGACCCGGUUAGUUACGGUAAGGCAGAGCAGACCAUAGGUCAGGACCCGGUUAGUUACGGUAACUCAGAGCAGACCAUAGGUCAGGACCCGGUUAGUUACAGUAACUCAGAGCAGACCAUAGGUCAGGACCCGGUUAGUUACGGUAACUCAGAGCAGACCAUAGGUCAGGACCCAGUUAGUUACGGUAACUCAGAGCAGACCAUAGGUCAGGACCCGGUUAGUUACGGUAAGGCAGAGCAGACCAUAGGUCAGGACCCGGUUAGUUACGGUAAGGCAGAGCAGACCAUAGGUCAGGACCCGGUUAGUUACGGUAACUCAGAGCAGACCAUAGGUCAGGACCCGGUUAGUUACGGUAAGGCAGAGCAGACCAUAGGUCAGGACCCGGUUAGUUACGUAACUCAGAGCAGACCAUAGGUCAGGACCCGGUUAGUUACGGUAACUCAGAGCAGACCAUAGGUCAGAGCCCGGUUAGUUACGGUAAGGCAGAGCAGACCAUAGGUCAGGACCCGGUUACUUACGGUAACUGAGAGAUGGCUCUCCAUUCACACUGUAUAGAGAUCUAGCAUGUCUGUCCUAAACGAUCAAUAAAGAUGUCUUACUAUCAAAACCA